GACAAUCUAAUGAAAAGACCCUAAGUGAGUGUGUCUCCAGGGCCUGUCAGACCAGGGCUCUUGACCUCCCGCCAAUCGAUCCGGAUGCUUUCAACCCGAUUAUCAUCCGGUUUCUGGAAAAACUUACUGAGGAGCAAUGGAGGCAGUUAAGCAUUGGCAGGAUGGACCCUGUGAUGAGGGCAUUGCUUGCAGAGAUGUGCCUGGAGAUUGUGCGGUUUGUAUCUGAGGCAAUCCUGGAGGUCAUCGUCCCUGCAAUUUUCCGUUUUGUACGGAUAUACAGCCAUGUGUCUCCAGUAUCCAGCAAGUCUCUGACUGAAUCAGAGAGAUCCUCUAGCACAAACCUGAAGGUUCGCAAGAGAGGCAGCAGCAAAUCCUCAAGGUCUUGCACGGCCAAAUCAAGCUCCUCUCGUAAUGGGUCUCAGACAGUGUUGCCAAAUACUCAGGGAGAUGGUGAGUCUAUAUCAUCU
Long non-coding RNA from Oncorhynchus kisutch (coho salmon), 467 nucleotides. RefSeq lists it as uncharacterized. The record is from RefSeq and is a predicted model, not a curated record. The transcript is spliced from 4 exons. Lineage: Eukaryota; Metazoa; Chordata; Actinopteri; Salmoniformes; Salmonidae.